GUCAGUAGCGGGAGCAGUUUUCUCUGGAAUAUGAUCCUCAUCGGUGUCCCCGCCAGCAGCUACAUUCUCAGGAAUGUACGCGGGGACUUGGUUAGGCACCAGAUCAUUAGUAUAACAAUAACUAUUCGGGUUACGUACAUCUGUGCGAUUUGGAUUUGGGAGGAUAAAAUCUUGUAACACAUUAUUAAUAAUUAUUAAAUUAAAU
This 205-nucleotide long non-coding RNA is filed under the name Lathyrus oleraceus (garden pea). RNAcentral's name for it is "Pisum sativum (pea) long non-coding RNA (PSAT_LNC034713)". Lineage: Eukaryota; Viridiplantae; Streptophyta; Magnoliopsida; Fabales; Fabaceae. The record is from RNAcentral.